This 75-nucleotide transfer RNA is filed under the name Ixodes scapularis (black-legged tick). RNAcentral's name for it is "tRNA-Pro". It matches the Rfam family "tRNA". Rfam says of the family: Transfer RNA (tRNA) molecules are approximately 80 nucleotides in length. Their secondary structure includes four short double-helical elements and three loops (D, anti-codon, and T loops). Further hydrogen bonds mediate the characteristic L-shaped molecular structure. tRNAs have two regions of fundamental functional importance: the anti-codon, which is responsible for specific mRNA codon recognition, and the 3' end, to which the tRNAs corresponding amino acid is attached (by aminoacyl-tRNA synthetases). tRNAs cope with the degeneracy of the genetic code in two manners: having more than one tRNA (with a specific anti-codon) for a particular amino acid; and 'wobble' base-pairing, i.e. permitting non-standard base-pairing at the 3rd anti-codon position. Lineage: Eukaryota; Metazoa; Arthropoda; Arachnida; Ixodida; Ixodidae. The record is from RNAcentral.
GCCCCUGGUUAGCUCUGUUGGUAGAGCACUCCACUGGGAAUGGAGAGGUCCCGGGUUCGAUUCCCGGACCAGGCG